UUUCAAACUUGAGAGUUUGAUCCUGGCUCAGAACGAACGCUGGCGGCAGGCUUAACACAUGCAAGUCGAACGCCCCUUCGGGGGAGUGGCAGACGGGUGAGUAACGCGUGGGAACCUACCUUUCGGUACGGAACAACAGUUGGAAACGACUGCUAAUACCGUAUACGUCCUUCGGGAGAAAGAUUUAUCGCCGAUAGAGGGGCCCGCGUUGGAUUAGCUUGUUGGUGAGGUAAUGGCUCACCAAGGCGACGAUCCGUAGCUGGUCUGAGAGGACGAUCAGCCACACUGGGACUGAGACACGGCCCAGACUCCUACGGGAGGCAGCAGUGGGGAAUAU
This 337-nucleotide ribosomal RNA is filed under the name Anderseniella sp. RNAcentral's name for it is "bacterial SSU rRNA". It matches the Rfam family "Bacterial small subunit ribosomal RNA", at positions 1 to 364 of the family's 1533-position model. Lineage: Bacteria; Pseudomonadati; Pseudomonadota; Alphaproteobacteria; Hyphomicrobiales; Parvibaculaceae. The record is from RNAcentral.